GUAGACAGUAGGAUAUCUGGGGUUCUACUUUUUUGAUGUAAAUUGCUUGUCAGGGGUAUUCUAGAGUUCUCUGUGGUCUGUCUGCCCACAGUAGUUCGAGUUUGUGAGCUCCCUUUUUUGCCUUAUCACAUGUGGGUGAGAAUCAAGAUAACUUAAACCUCUACAAAAUUCUAAUGCAAAAUGGCAACAUAAGGAGACACUAGAGAAACGUUUAGUGAUGGUGCAAUGGGCACUUAAUCAUCAAGCAAGAAAUCUGUUACAACUGAAUUUAACUGAAUUCCACUGGAUAACAGACAUGCAAAGGCAGGAGUGGGAUAAAAGGAGCAGGGCUUCCUCCACAAUGCAGUCAACUUCACAAUCUAAUGCUUGGAUCCCAGAGGUACAGAGGCUGCUUUAAAAACAGAGAAAAGCAAAGCUAUUCUUUUCAAAGGGAGCAAGAAGCAAAAAGCAGAGUCAGUUAUGGAAGAUUCUCUUCUAGUUUCUUCUUCUCCACAGCAUCUUGUCAUGAUAAAUACAACAGCCCCACUGGGCUUCCUGCCACCAAGUGCUUAGUGAUGACCCAGACUGCACAGACAACAGACCCUCUGGUCCUGCAUCCCCACCUCAACCCUUCAAUGUCCUGCAGAGAUAUUACCGGGACAGCUGAGACCAGAUAACAACAACAAAAAAAAACCACACAACAUGAAUUCUGAAGAAAAUUAAACUGUUGCUUUAUUCAGUUCAUUGCUUAAAUCUGCCUGAAAUGCUACCAUGCCAGAAGAAUGGAAGGUGGAAAAUACAACUAUUGAAAAGACUUGUGAGCUCACCAAAAUCAGUGUUUGAUGUUUCUGCCAAGUAACUUGCUGGAAAACAUAAUAAAGAAUAGAACUGGUGAACUGAA
Molecule: non-coding RNA, 880 nt
Organism: Cyanistes caeruleus (blue tit)
Lineage: Eukaryota; Metazoa; Chordata; Aves; Passeriformes; Paridae
Source: RefSeq, a predicted model, not a curated record